ACCUGGAUAGCUCAGUUGGUUAGAGCAUGGUGCAAGUUCCAGGUUCAGUCCCUAGUAUGGGGA
This 63-nucleotide transfer RNA is filed under the name Podarcis lilfordi (Lilford's wall lizard). RNAcentral's name for it is "tRNA.Undet". Lineage: Eukaryota; Metazoa; Chordata; Lepidosauria; Squamata; Lacertidae. The record is from RNAcentral.